CCUACGGGUGGCAGCAGUGAGGAAUAUUGGUCAAUGGGCGGAAGCCUGAACCAGCCAAGUAGCGUGCAGGAUGACGGCCCUACGGGGUGUAAACUGCGUUUAUACGGGAAUAACGCGCCUUACGUGUAGGGCUUUGCAUGUAACGUAUGAAUAAGGACCGGCUAAAUCCGGGCCAGCAGCCGCGGUAAUACUGAAGGUCCGGGCGGUAUCCGGAUUUAUUGGGUUGAAAGGGGGCGAAGGCCGCAUGUCAAGCGUGCUGUGAAAUGUCCGGGCUCAACCCGGGCCUUGCAGCGCGAACUGGCGUGCUUGAGUCCGCGGAAAGCAGGCGGAAUUCGUCGUGUAGCGGUGAAAUGCUUAGAUAUGACGAAGAACCCCGAGUGCGAAGGCAGCUUGCUGCAGCGGAACUGACGCUGAUGCUCGAAAGCGCGGGUAUCGAACAGGAUUAGAUACCCUUGUAGUC
This 460-nucleotide ribosomal RNA is filed under the name uncultured bacterium. RNAcentral's name for it is "partial 16S ribosomal RNA". It matches the Rfam family "Bacterial small subunit ribosomal RNA", at positions 338 to 795 of the family's 1533-position model. The record is from RNAcentral.